RNAcentral lists this unclassified non-coding RNA (229 nucleotides) under uncultured fungus. RNAcentral's name for it is "sequence contains ITS1". Lineage: Eukaryota; Fungi. The record is from RNAcentral.
UUGAAGUAUUUUUUGUUUGUUCUCAGACGACUUGUUUAUUAGAGUUUGGUGGUCCAUCGACGGGCUCUCAAGGGCCCGAAAGCCAGAGGCGUGAUCCCUAACCGUUUGGGGAGAGGGGGACCGCGGCCCGCCGAGGCAACAUCGUUCGUAGACAUGGGGUUGGGAGGUCGGGCGCCCGAAAGGCACCCUGAACUCGGUAAUGAUCCUUCCGCAGGUUCACCUACGGAAA